UUAGCCCGGAGUCAGUGGUAAAAAUAGGCUCCUUUCGAAGGAGCAACUCCACAAGUACCGUACCGAAACUGUACACAUCACUCUUCUCAUUUAAAAGGCCAGUGUGAUAAUAUUCUGGAUCUAAGUACCCAAAUGUACCUUGUAUAUUCGUCAUAACAUGGGUCUGGUCAAUAGGAACCAACCUCGAAGCACCAAAGUCUGACACCUUUGCUGUAUAAUUCCCAUCCAGGAGUAUAUUUGUCGACUUCACAUCACGAUGAAAGAUUGAUACAGAAGCAGCUGAAUGAAGGUAAGAAAGGGCUCCAGCUGCUUCUAUAGCAAUUCUUAAGCAAUCAUCCCACGACAAGGAAGAGUUGUUGUUUGGAUU
RNAcentral lists this ribosomal RNA (367 nucleotides) under Triticum aestivum (bread wheat). RNAcentral describes it as "partial small subunit ribosomal RNA". Lineage: Eukaryota; Viridiplantae; Streptophyta; Magnoliopsida; Poales; Poaceae. The record is from RNAcentral.